This is a non-coding RNA of Helianthus annuus (common sunflower), 90 nucleotides long. NCBI's taxonomy places the organism in Eukaryota, Viridiplantae, Streptophyta, Magnoliopsida, Asterales, Asteraceae. The record is from Rfam.
GAAAGCAAAUGAUGCAAUAAAAACAUCUUAUACUACACACUGAAGAUUUUGAUGUAGAAAACUAUCUCUCAAUUGUUUUCUGAUGCUUUC